UUGAGAUUCUCCCUAUUCUCUCUCACAUAUCCACCAACAACAUACACAGUGGGCUCUUGGUGACUGUUCAAGUUAUGAUCUGAUUGGUUCGCCUAUCUCUUUGUGAGGGCCUACACAUCGUUCUCAUCAGUGAAGAUCGGUCCAUCUUGUUGUUAAUCUUAUCUGUUAUGCUUGGUUGGAUUGUAGGACACAGGCUAUUGGUGAAGUUUUCUUGGCUAAUCCUGAGGUUUUUUGCCCUGUCUAUGACUGUAAUUGUUGGUGAUUACUGAAGUUUAUGAUAGCCUUGUAUUUUUCUCUUGUUGGGCUGGAAGCAGCUGUUGGGCUUAGGAAUUUGAGUUGAUGAAUUUGCACAUGGGCCUUGUCUAAUGCAGAGUACUUCUUGGGCUUUGGCCUCACUAUAAAAGAGUGGGGUUUUGGUCCUGUUCUUAGUUGAUUGAGAUUCUCCCUAUUCUCUCUCACAUAUCCACCAACAACAUACACAGUGGGCUCUUGGUGACUGUUCAAGUUAUGAUCUGAUUGGUUCGCCUAUCUCUUUGUGAGGGCCUACACAUCGUUCUCAUCAGUGAAGAUCGGUCCAUCUUGUUGUUAAUCUUAUCUGUGAGAUUAGUUUAUCUUACUAUUGAUCUUCCAUGUGUAGAUCAGGUUGUAUAUGUUCUUGUUUGUUUCUUUAUUGUCUUCGUAUUUGUAGAUCAACUGAUUAAAUCAGUUGAUCUAAGCGUUUGUACAUUAGAUCUUACUUUGUGUAAGAUCAAGGGUUUUGGUUGGGUGUUUUUUUUGGUUUGGGUAAACGAAUAAUAAAGUUUUACGUCACGUUUUAUCGCUUC
Molecule: long non-coding RNA, 824 nt
Filed under: Helianthus annuus (common sunflower)
Lineage: Eukaryota; Viridiplantae; Streptophyta; Magnoliopsida; Asterales; Asteraceae
Description: hypothetical non coding rna
Source: RNAcentral